UACGAAGGGGGCUAGCGUUGCUCGGAAUGACUGGGCGUAAAGGGCGUGUAGGCGGACCGGCGCGUCCCGUGUGAAAGCCCCCUGGCUCAACUGGGGGAGGUCAUGGGAAACGGUCGGACUGGAGCCCGGUAGGGGGCCAUGGAAUUCCCGGUGCAGUGGUGGAAUGCGUAGAGAUCGGGAGGAACACCUGUGGCGAAGGCGGUGGCCUGGACCGGUGCUGACGCUGAGGCGCGAAGGCGUGGGGAGCGAUCCGG
Molecule: ribosomal RNA, 254 nt
Filed under: uncultured bacterium
Lineage: Bacteria
Description: partial 16S ribosomal RNA
Rfam family: Bacterial small subunit ribosomal RNA
Source: RNAcentral